This 402-nucleotide ribosomal RNA is filed under the name uncultured Methanomicrobiales archaeon. RNAcentral describes it as "bacterial SSU rRNA". It matches the Rfam family "Archaeal small subunit ribosomal RNA", at positions 935 to 1338 of the family's 1478-position model. The record is from RNAcentral. Lineage: Archaea; Methanobacteriati; Methanobacteriota; Methanomicrobia; Methanomicrobiales.
UAAGACAGCUGAAUGAUAGUCGGGCUGAAGACUCUACUUGACUAGCUGAGAGGAGGUGCAUGGCCGUCGUCAGUUCGUACUGUGAAGCAUCCUGUUAAGUCAGGCAACGAGCGAGACCCACGCCAACAGUUGCCAGCUCGUCCUCCGGGAUGGAGGGGACACUGUUGGGACCGCUCUGCUAAAGAGAGGAAGGAAUGGGCAACGGUAGGUCAGCAUGCCCCGAAUUAUCUGGGCUACACGCGGGCUACAAUGGGUGGGACAAUGGGUAUCGACACCGAAAGGUGAAGGCAAUCUCCUAAACCCAUCCUUAGUUCGGAUUGUGGGCUGCAACUCGCCCACAUGAAGCUGGAAUCUGUAGUAAUCGUGUCUCAAAAUGGCACGGUGAAUACGUCCCUGCUCCUU